CUGCGAUUUCACACCGAUUUCACACCGAUUUCACACCGAUUUCCUCCGGGUUGCCGCGCCUCUGCCGUCCCGCGGCUCCGCGCAAAUUGCGCGCCCGCUCCGCGCCUCCGCCGCCCGCGGCCGGCCCCGCGUUCACUCGGCCGGCUCCGUAGGUGGCCGUGUAUAUUUUUGUUCAAGUAGUGUUUAUGUGAAUGAAAAAGGCUGAGAUUACAAACAGACCACUGAACGCCCGGGAUGUUGCUGCCGGAUUGGUCUAGGCUGUGUAUUUUAAACCUAAUCAGGAGCAAAUAUGAUUUUUGUGUGCGUGCAUGCGUGUGCAUUAUUUUUAGCAGAAACACGUUUGGGAUGUUUGGGGAGCACUGUACCCUAACCCCUGUCUCUUUCCUCCGUGAUUUCUGAGCUGUGUUUUGCUCUGCACGGUUGGGGAUGGAGCGGGGCUGCAGGGAGAGGUGACAGAGCAGCUCUCUGGGAAUUAUCCCCCAGACAACGAAAUCGAUCCCUUGGCUCCUGGAAAGGGAAAGGAGGGGCUCAGUUCGCCCCCCCCCGAGCCCCCUCCGAGCCCAUAGAGGGUUUCCAUGUGCUGGUGGCAAACGGGUGCUCGUCCCUAAAGCCUCGGCUAUGGGAUGGGGCAUGUCUGGGCUUUCUCCUUGCCGGGUGUUGCUCGGCACAACCUGAAAUCCGCUCCAAACAUCCCCGCUAAUUCAGCAUUGAAAAAUGCCAUUUACAAUUUACCACAUCAAAAGAAAAAAAAAUAUAUAUAUAUAUUAUAUAUAGGUUGCAUAUUUAGGAUUUCAGCCCUUGCAAACGCAAAAGUGAUCAGGAAUCAGUUCAUCAAUUGCAUAAAAGCAGACAUCCAGCAGGCAGUUUGAUUUUCCUUUCAGGAGGGAGCUGUGACUUUCUUUGGUUUCAGAGGCAGGGUCCGUGUGAUUCUGGUUUCCUUAACAAAAAAAGAUUUCUCCAAAAUCACUCCUGGAACCCCCUCAGCUGUUCCUAUCUCCGCUUACAUCAGUGUGCUCACGAGGGUUCAAAAGAAAUCACCCCAUUUUUGCAGACGUUCCUCUGCCGAUCGAUCAUUCCCAGCGUGGAGGGAUGCCCCGGGGGUCCCAGCAAAAGGGUUUCUCCCCCCCGACAGCUCUGCGAGCAAACGUGCGGCGGCUUUGGCAUCGCCUUCCUUCCCAAUAUUUGCCUUUUGUGGGCAAAAGCUGUCGGUGGAGCAGAGCUCUCCGGCUCAGCCAGCCGGAGGAUUUGUGCGCUCCGAUGUUUUACUACUGUUAUGAUUCCUCAUUGACUGAAGUACAAAGAAAAUCGCCGCGUAAACAAGUCGCCGUCUGAAGGGGACGUGGGCGAAAUUUGGGGCAAGCAAAACCUUAGCAGGGAUCUAAGGGAAGAAGGGAAACAGGGGAAAACACGACAGUCCCGUGCAAGGUUUUCCCUAUGUGAUGGCAGCGUCACUUCAGAGCUGUGUGGGUUUUUUUUCCCCGUGUUUUGUGGGGCAGAGGAGAGCCCUAAAAUGGCUUUUUCUCCCUUAGAAUAUGUGGAGGGCAUCAAUCCAUCUCCCCCCAAAAUGAGUAGGCUCCAGCACGAGGCUUAGCACAGAACAGCGGGUGUUUGGUUCUCUCACCUGGAACCAGCAGUUUUUUUUCAUUGACACUGUAUUUUUUGCAUUCGUUCUUUUUUUAUGCGGGGGGGGAAGGGGGAGGACAAUCCUUUUUUUUGUUACCUAGCGACCUCAAGCAGAGGGAUGGCCAACACUAAAAGAGCACAGCAUUCGGCUUUGGAGAAAACACCACUGCUGUCAGAACCAGGUAGGCCCUGAGGAGGUGGGGGCAGCAGGGUGGGGGUCGGGGCCCCCCAGCGCUCACCCCCAUGUGCUCAGCCCAGAACAGGGACAGCUCUGUGCCGUACACCAUGGGCAGCCCCCAUACGGGGACCCACUGAAGGAUGGGGACAAAGGGCUGUCCCCACCUUGGCACACACGUGCACACGCACGUACACACGUGUUCACGUGCCCGUGCACGCAUGCACACGUGCACACCCUCCUCUAACCCCGCAUCCGACCGCGCCGCUCCCGAGCAGCUCUAAUGAUGCCGCAGCACCAGCGAUGCGGUGCGAGGCAAAAAGCAGAUGAAAGUGAUGUCACAUUAAUGUCAGCUCACAACUCGAGCCCACACAGCCUUGAUUGCUCUUAUUAAUCUUGCCAAUUUGUCUGUCAGCACUCAGCUAAUCCCUAAAUAGCCUCCCAACAGGUGCUUUAUGCUUCCGUCACAUCGCUGCUCCCCAGCAUCCCCCCCCCCUGGAGCCCCGGAGCCCUCCUCAGUGACACCGGCUCUCUCCUGUCCAUCUGGGAGCGGCUUCUUCCCCAGGAGGGCUGGAGGGGGGAGAGGCGGCUUUGCAGAUGUUGUUUAGUCUGCACACAGAGGGCACGCGGAGCUGGGGGCUUCCCAAAUGGAAGCGAUGGGCAGCGGGGAGGGGACGCAGGAGAAAUUCACCUGGGGGCAAGGGUGGGGGUAAACGGGGGACCAACAACCCUUUCUCUCCCUCCCCCCAAGGUUUGCUUGCAUCGCUGUGAAAAAUUGCAUGUAUGGCACCCGACGCUAGCACGGUGGUUGCAUUGCUUUUACGUAUCGCCGGCUUGUUGGUUUUAUUGAGAGGGGAGGAAAGCUUAAGGCAACGCUGAAGCUGCAGUGGAAAAGCCACAUGACACCCUGGGCAGCUUUAUCCUGCAAUUAAGCCGAGGGUCAAACAUUUCCUUUGCUGUGCUAUCAGAAAAUCCGCUGGCUUAUUGCAGUGUAUAUUUAGCCGUAAAGAUCCCGCUGAGCACUGAGUGGAAGGCUGAAAUUAUUGUGCUCCGUCCUCCCAGAGCUGUUAUUUAGCACAGUAGUUUUAAACACAGUUGGUUUUUUUUUUUGUGUGUGUGUGUGUGUGUGCAGGAAACCCUACGAACUACUAAAGCGGAGUGCAAGCUGCUUUCCUGCAUUAAAAACAAAAGUUAUAUAUACAUAUAUUUUGGUUUGGCAGCUUGCUGCAUGGAGCAGCUCGCACGCAGCCUUGAGCCCCGUGCGUUGCAGCUCACCUGGGGGAUGCUGUGCUCUGCAGGAGGAGCUGCCAAGCCCGGCUCUGCUGGAGCAGGCUCCAAUUUUACAUCCGAAGUUGGCUCGGGCUGCUUCCAGCCCUGAGCUCAGCACAGCAGGAAGGAAGCUUUCAGGGCAUCCUCCACCGCUCUUCCAAAAGAGCCACCAAGGGGAGCGUGGUCGCUGCUAGAGCUUGGGGCUGCUCCUCGUUAACCCUUGGGCGCUUCAGAUCAGGUCCUGAAAGCCCUCUACAAACACCAUUCGCCACCGCAAGCUGUUCCACUCCAUCCCGACCUGGAUUUAUUAUCGGGAGACAGAUAGAUUUUUCCUUCUUUCUCCCCGUCCAUUUAUUUCAAGCCAUAAGACGAUCCAUCACGGUGAGCUGGAACCGACCUACGAUCCGGGGAUAUUCUUAGAUACGCAGCGUGUCAGGAAACGGCUAGCAGCCCCACUUGAUGCAAAUAUUUGGACGAGCGAGAGGUAGGAAGGAUUGUCCAAAUGUUUACUGAAGGCUGUUGAUAGCCCAAGGAUUUAUAACUGGCGCAUAAUGCCUGCCCCCACACAGCUCCUCUAGCAGGUGCAUCCAGUUUCAGCAUGACACAUGGUAUGUGCGUGCUCUGGGAACGGGGAUGCAGGAGAAAGCGCUUUCACAGCUCUCACCUCCCUCCUCCCAUCUCCAUUAAGUUUUGGAGCAGCAAGAUGAGAGCCCAGGACCAGCUCUGAUGAUACAGAGCCCCAGCAGCAAUUCACGUCUGAAGACAAAACAUAAGCAUUGAGCGUGUUUGGUUGGGAUUUCCCACGUGAAACCAAGGCUCUGAAUUAUUUAGGCCCAUUGGUACAUUCCUUGUCACACUCCUUCAGUUCUGUGAGGGAGAAAAGCCACAUUAUUCUAGCUAUUGCUCUUGCCAUUUCACUUCCUAACUUGCACCGUCAGGGUUUGAUCUCCUUUCUCUCACAAUAAGCCCUAAUUACUGCUGGAGGCAUAUCACUGCUAACUAAUUGGGUUUAACCAAUUCUGGUGUCCAAGGAGCUGCAGUUUUUUGGUGGCUUUCAGGACACCACAGGAAAUGCCCUGGCACCCACUGCCAGGCAGCCCCUACACCACCAACAGAGGACAGCACGUUCAGGGCACAGCACGUUGGCCAAGCAGAGUUGGAAAUACACUCAAGGAAAGCUUUAGUACCUUGCCCAAGGCCAACCAGCAAUGGCAUUCAAUGGCAGAAAGAAGUCAGUUCAUUGAUACUCUGUCCUGUAUAACCUGUGGCCUAGAUGCCCUCAGGGUGCAGGGAGACCUCAGCUGACUCCAACCCAACCUCCUGCUCAAAGCAGGUCCAUGGCCCAUGCGAGAUAGCAGCUUCAUGUGUCUGAGCCUUGAAAACCUCUGAGGACAAAGCCUGAUAGCCAUGCUUACAAAUAGUUCAGGCAGCAGAGGAGCUGUUGGUGCCCUUGUGCCCAUCCAACCAGGCCCUCAAGCUCUGCUGUCAACGCAGUGGCUGUUUUGCCUGUAAGCAUUCCUACACUGCAUUAUUGAGAAUCCUAUGGAACAGGAGCAACGAGCACGGAGCUGAGUCACUCAAGUCUGCUAAUCGCCUUUCCUUAACCAUUUAGUAGGUUUUGACAAGGCUAGGAACAUGAACGCAUGCACUUAGCAUGCUGCAGAAGCCCGGACAACGUGCUUUUCUGUGUAACGAGCAGCAAUUGUAUCUGCUACAGAACAGCCUUUAAUUCAUUGCAGCCCCGGAUGGCAGAGUUUGCCGACUGCUCAGACAGGAAUACAAUGGCCCUAUUGUUUUGCCAAGGGAAGAUUUCUUUGUUGCACGCUGUCGUGUAAACUGUAUGUUUUCUAUUUGUUACCUGAUUCGUUUCAAUGAAAUUCCUUAUGUAGUUUUAAGACUGUCCGCUGUCCUGGGCUGGAGCAAUGGGAGAAACUGUGGGAGGCUGAGGACCAGGUGAUUAGAGUUACAUCUAUUUGGCUUGCUUGGAAAGAAGGAAGAGAAUUUGGUGCUCUUCAUGGGAGCAGAAAUCGCAUAAUAAAAUAUACGGGGGAAAAAAGUAGUAAGUGCUCAAAUUCCAGUCAUCUGCUGUGCUGUGUAUAAAGGUUUCCUUUAUAUAUCAAAAGAAUUCGAUCCUGGUUUAGAUGUCACAUUCUCAGUGUGGCCUUAAGAGCGUAGUUGUAACUCAGACUAAUCCGGAUUUCUCUCUCCUUGAACCUAUUUCUCAACAAUCACACAACAGUGUGGAAAUGUGUUUCCUAGACAAGAAUCUUGAGCCAUCAACUAGCCCCAAGCCAGGGGGAUUCCACCAAUGCAUAUGGUGGUCAUGCUGUGCACAGCCCAAAGCCUUCUUCACAGCCAUGCAAACCAUGUUUCCAUACCAAUCUCUCCAGUUUCUUCUCGUGUUAGCAGUGGGUUUAGCUCCCUGGACUUGCCAGGUAUGGGGAUAGCCUCCCUAUAGAUCUCCUUCCACAAGUGCCCCUUUCCCCAGAACCUUUGUGUAGAUGCAUCUUUGUGUAGGUACAGUAACUGUGAGGUUUAAAAGAUUGGUAAAAGGAUUGGAUUUAAGGCAUUGCAGCCCAAAAAUACGAUCCUAAAACCUGAGUUCGCCAGUCAUCUGAACCUAGAUGCACCCACAUCGCAUGGGGGCAACAGCAAGCUCUGGUAGAAGAGAGAAUAUUCUGCAGAUCUGUACUCUGGCCCCUGUCAGGCAGUUUUAGGAGAGGAAGGCUACGGACAUCCAGUUAAAAACUGCAAAACCAGUAGGAUUUGGGCCAGGCUUAACCAAAGCAGAAAUAAAUCAUCUCAGUCACUGGUAUGUUUCAGUGCAUUUGGGCUUAGAGGCGAUGUGGGCGAUGGCUUGUGGUCCAGACCAGCGUGGUGCUUUUAGCUAUAUAUAAUUAGAUGUUUUUUCUACUGCAAACCAUUACUGACAGACUGAAAGGGUUUUAUUCCACAGGACUUUUCCUGCCUCAUCUGCCAGGGAGAAAGCAGGCCUCACUCAAACUCUGCUUCCUUGGUGUAAAUCACAGCAUGGGGCUACCUUAUCUCAGCCAGAGCCCCUGUGCAGGAAUGCUGCUCUGUCCAGCCCUCGGGCCACCCACCCCUGAUCCCAGGCUCCAGCAUCUGCUCCAGGCCCAAGCUCUGACCCUUCAGAGACAUAUUUUUGCAAGGUCAGGAGGUUGGGUAGUAAAAGGGGAGUGGAGAAUAGCAGGGGAACAGUGAAGGCUGGCUCUGCAAAGGGAUUUCAGGAGGAUGUUUACACUCGCCAUUAAAUGCAGGCUUGAGCCUGUUCUCUUCUCCAUUUGCACUGUUUGCAUGCAAGCAUGCGUGAGGCACAGGCACAGUCCCAGCUUCAAAGCCUUCUGGAUGAGGGUGGUCCAUGCAUGCUCUGCACCCUUGCUCCUUGGUCGUGCAAUUGGGCCAAGUGGAGCAAGGCAGGAGCAGUGAGACAGCCAGCCCUGCUGGGCAUCUCUGGGUCCUUCAUGGGCAACAAGAAUGCUUUCAGCACCAGAAAAUAAAUCAUACAGAAAAACCACGUGGAAGAGGGGCAGAAGAAAGGAGGAGAAACAGCUCUGCCAGAUGGAAGUAGACAGAUGUCCAUCUCAAAUGGAUGGAUGUACAUCUCUAUGUCUUGCUUUUACCCAAUACAGAGCUUUUCUUUUCUUGUGCUCUUGUGUUGUGGUGAUUCGUCACAUUUUAGCUUAUCAGCAGAAAAGAUUAAAGAUACUAUUGUGCUGAAUGAACAGCCCAUGUCACACACAUGGAUGGAGCCUUCUUCCUGGAGUGGAAGUGGUCCUUUGGGAUUGGGUCAAAGAAUGAUUUCAGGUGGAAUUUCUCUGAAAUUUCUGCGUGCAUUUGCUUGGAAGGGCCACAUAUCUGCCUUCAUCCAAGAAACAGCUGCAGAGGGGUUGCUGGACAUGGCCUGACUAUCGUCAGGAACAAGGAGAGAUUGUUAGUGUGUGCAUCACUGCAGGAGACAUUUCAAUUAAAGAGAGAGCGUUCCAAGAAAAAACCUAAUUUUCUUAAACUGUUAAACUUAAAAUGGGUUAUUACUUCUCGCACAGCCAUUGGUGUAUAAAUUUGUCCUGAAUGAAGAGGGAAAUGUCAUUUCCUUUCCUCGACGAGCUGAUCUCAACAUAGGAGAUGAAGACUCCAGGCUCUUCCCAAUGAAGUUUCUGGCCAGCAGCUCCAAGGACUGUCACGGCCACGCUGUGCAUUUGGGGACGUCAUGCAAUGGGGCUUUAACCGUGAAUGGAGGACGUCUCAGCCCCACUAUGGGUGGGAUAAGGACAACCCUCACCCCAAGGGUGAGUGCUUAGGAGUGGAGGCAAAGCCAGCUGGUGGAGCAAGUGAUGGGGGCAGGCCUCCCUGAGAUGCAAAUCAGCCCAUGUGUACCCCAAAUGACCCAAACCACAACUUUAUGGAGGCUCUUCUGGCUGUAGGGUGCACUGAUGACAGAGCCAGCUCCCACCAUCUGUGGAUUUCCUCAUCCUGGCAGCUCAGCGGAGAGCAACAGGUUCUAGCUAAAUGCCUUAUGGUCCAGAUGCCAUGGAUCAUCCACCUUGGUUUUAGUAAGAGCAGUGCCCCUGCAACACAGUGAGCAGAUGUGAGGAGGUGUGAGCCACCCCAGGGUGGAGGCCACCUUCUCCAUCCCCACGUUUGCCGUAACCCCAAACCCAGCCCCAUCACGUGUGGUGAUAAAAGGGAACUGGCAGCACAAAACUCAUCUUGAUUUCCAGGCUGGUGGCCGCACAACCCUACUGGCUUCUCCGAAAGAAGCAAGAGACACAAACCUGUUCUGUCCCUAGGUUUCCCGCUGGGCUAAUUACUGCUAAUUGUGCCACUUGGCUAUCUGUUCAGCCACACCCUGAGCAGGGCUGAUUAGGGUAUCAGUGAGAUAAGGAACACUUGGGUAGCACAGGUAGCACAAUGUCCUAAGGAUGUGUUCAGGAACCGGGAUCCAACUGGAAGCCUUUUGGGAAAAGCUAGCAUGGGUUUUGGUGACUGUGUCUGCAAGCUGUACAGAAGCAAGCUGGCAUUCAUUUCAUCGUAAUUCCUUUAAAUUUACUUAGCAUGUGGAUUAUUCGUAUGAGCUGUUUUUGUUGUUGUUAACAAGACACUGUGGAAAUGGAGCUUUCCUCAUUUUUCCCUCUUCCCACAGAGAAAUAAACUCUGUUCUUUUAACAAA
Long non-coding RNA from Numida meleagris (helmeted guineafowl), 8255 nucleotides. RefSeq lists it as uncharacterized. The record is from RefSeq and is a predicted model, not a curated record. Lineage: Eukaryota; Metazoa; Chordata; Aves; Galliformes; Numididae. The transcript has 2 exons.